AAGGGACCUAGCGUAGUUCGGAAUUACUGGGCUUAAAGAGUUCGUAGGUGGUUGAAAAAGUUGGUGGUGAAAUCCCAGAGCUUAACUCUGGAACUGCCAUCAAAACUUUUCAGCUAGAGUAUGAUAGAGGAAAGCAGAAUUUCUAGUGUAGAGGUGAAAUUCGUAGAUAUUAGAAAGAAUACCAAUUGCGAAGGCAGCUUUCUGGAUCAUUACUGACACUGAGGAACGAAAGCAUGGGUAGCGAAGAGGAUUAGAUACCCUCGUAGUCCAUGCCGUAAACGAUGUGUGUUAGACGUUGGAAAUUUAUUUUCAGUGUCGCAGGGAAACCGAUAAACACACCGCCUGGGGAGUACGACCGCAAGGUUAAAACUCAAAUGAAUUGACGGGGACCCGCACAAGUAGUGGAGCAUGUGGUUUAAUUCGAAGAUACGCGCAGAACCUUACCAACACUUGACAUGUUCGUCGCGACUCUAAGAGAUUAGAGUUUUCGGUUCGGCCGGACGAAACACAGGUGCUGCAUGGCUGUCGUCAGCUCGUGUCGUGAGAUGUUGGGUUAAGUCCCGCAACGAGCGCAACCCUCACUUUUAGUUGCCAUCAUUAAGUUGGGCACUCUGAAAGAACUGCCAGUGAUAAGCUGGAGGAAGGUGGGGAUGACGUCAAGUCCUCAUGGCCCUUACGUGUUGGGCUACACACGUGCUACAAUGGCAUCUACAACAGGAAGCAGGACGGCAACGUUAAGCAAAUCCCGAAAAGAUGCCUCAGUUCGGAUUGCACUCUGCAACUCGAGUGCAUGAAGCUGGAAUUACUAGUAAUCGUGGAUCAGCGUGCCACGGUGAAUGCGUUCCCGGGUCUUGUACACACCGCCCGUCACACCAUGGGAGUUGGUUCUACCUUAAGGCAAGGUUCUAAACCCUUGACCACGGUAUAGUCAGCGACUGGGGUGAAGUCGUAACAAGGUAGCCGUAGGGGAACCUGCGGCUGGAUUACCUCCUUUCUAAGGAUGAGUGAAAGUAAAAUUUCACUCUAAAUAAUAUACAUCGGUAAUGUUGACCGUCCUCAUUUCUCUUCUUAAAGUAAUGUUUCCUUCUUGUAGGGCCGGUAGCUCAGUUGGUUAGAGCACACCCUUGAUAAGGGUGGGGUCGAAAGUUCGAGUCUUUCUCGGCCCACCAAAAACCUAAAUGGGGGAUUAGCUCAUCUGGGAGAGCGCCUGAUUUGCAUUCAGGAGGUAGCAGGUUCGAUCCCUGUAUCCUCCACCAGGAAACAUUUAGUUAUUAAAACUGUAAAUAAAAAUAAUUUAUAUCAAUAUCUAUAUCCGAACAUUAAAAGUUAUUAUUUAAUGUUCAAAAUAAAAAUUUGAUCACAACAUAGAUAAAUUUUCUGUUAAAAGAAUUUUCUUCUGUGCAUAAAUCAAGCGUUUAAGGGCGUGUAGUGGAUGCCUUGGCACUGAAAGCCGAUGAAGGACGUGAUAUACUGCGAUAAGUUUCGGGGAGCUGUAUGUAAGCUUUGAUCCGAAAAUUU
Molecule: small RNA, 1518 nt
Filed under: uncultured Arctic sea ice bacterium
Lineage: Bacteria
Description: bacterial SSU rRNA
Rfam family: Bacterial small subunit ribosomal RNA (bases 1-994)
Source: RNAcentral